CGGGGUGUAGCUCAAUUGGCAGAGCGCCUGGUUUGGGACCAGGAGGUUCUCGGUUCGAUUCCGAGCACCCCGA
RNAcentral lists this transfer RNA (73 nucleotides) under Elusimicrobiota bacterium. RNAcentral describes it as "Elusimicrobia bacterium (groundwater metagenome) tRNA-Pro". It matches the Rfam family "tRNA". Rfam says of the family: Transfer RNA (tRNA) molecules are approximately 80 nucleotides in length. Their secondary structure includes four short double-helical elements and three loops (D, anti-codon, and T loops). The record is from RNAcentral. Lineage: Bacteria; Pseudomonadati; Elusimicrobiota.